Molecule: long non-coding RNA, 315 nt
Filed under: Gossypium raimondii (Peruvian cotton)
Lineage: Eukaryota; Viridiplantae; Streptophyta; Magnoliopsida; Malvales; Malvaceae
Description: long non-coding RNA (GRAI_LNC002873)
Source: RNAcentral
GCUUUGCUUUGUUUUUUUUUUUUUUACUUUGAUUUGGUUUUUAUCUUUUUUGGUUUUAGAAUAUUGUUGGUUUAGUUCUUUGAUCUAUUUCUGAAGUUCUUGGAUUAAUUUGAACACUUAUUUUGAUUAUUCUUGUGGAACUGUUUUCAUUCUUUUUUUUUCUUUUUUCCCUGUUUAAUUCUAAUUUAAGAUUCAUCUGCUUCUUUUUUUCCUUCUUGUUCAUUGCAUAAAUUUGAAGCCAUUUUUUUUGUUUAUUUACUUCUUGGAAAAAAGAAGAAAGCUUGAAUGUAGAUUAGGAUCUGGACUACUAAUUUA